Molecule: unclassified non-coding RNA, 442 nt
Filed under: Hevea brasiliensis (rubber tree)
Lineage: Eukaryota; Viridiplantae; Streptophyta; Magnoliopsida; Malpighiales; Euphorbiaceae
Source: RNAcentral
GAGAAACUGGGUCGACAAUAUGUCACAUAAUUGUAAGCAUGAUCAUCACCUUCAGACCUGCUUGGAUCGCGAGAAAUUUGAGAGGGCUUCACUCUAGGAGUGUCAACACAAGCAGCCAUGGGAUUACAAUGGAGAUGCUUAGAAAAGGAGUAAAUUGAUGAAGAAGCGAGUGUAAAGAAGAAAGGAUCGCGGAGAGAAGAAAAGGCCUUAUAUGGAGAAGGGGCUACGACCGGAACUUUCAUGGUUCCUGGGAAAAUUUUAUAGCGGAUAACGAACGCAACAACAAAAUGGUUUAAUCAGGCAGUCGUAAUAGUUAUGAACUCACCGCAUAAAAAUUUUAUACACACUAGAAAGCAGCCUCAUGAAACAGAUGGCACUCCACCUUUUCCUUAUGAAACAGAUGGCACCGUCACCUUUUCUCCUCUCUUAUAAUUUUUUCUCG